RNAcentral lists this ribosomal RNA (686 nucleotides) under uncultured bacterium. RNAcentral's name for it is "bacterial SSU rRNA". It matches the Rfam family "Bacterial small subunit ribosomal RNA", at positions 8 to 689 of the family's 1533-position model. The record is from RNAcentral.
AGAGUUUGAUCAUGGCUCAGAUUGAACGCUGGCGGCAUGCCUUACACAUGCAAGUCGAACGGCAGCACGGGAGCAAUCCUGGUGGCGAGUGGCGGACGGGUGAGUAAAGUAUCGGAACGUGCCCAGUCGUGGGGGAUAACGUAGCGAAAGCUACGCUAAUACCGCAUACGAUCUAUGGAUGAAAGCGGGGGAUCGCAAGACCUCGCGCGAUUGGAGCGGCCGAUAUCAGAUUAGGUAGUUGGUGGGGUAAAGGCCUACCAAGCCGACGAUCUGUAGCUGGUCUGAGAGGACGACCAGCCACACUGGGACUGAGACACGGCCCAGACUCCUACGGGAGGCAGCAGUGGGGAAUUUUGGACAAUGGGCGCAAGCCUGAUCCAGCAAUGCCGCGUGCAGGAUGAAGGCCUUCGGGUUGUAAACUGCUUUUGUACGGAGCGAAAAGGCUUCCACUAAUACUGGAGGCUCAUGACGGUACCGUAAGAAUAAGCACCGGCUAACUACGCGCCAGCAGCCGCGGUAAUACGUAGGGUGCAAGCGUUAAUCGGAAUUACUGGGCGUAAAGCGUGCGCAGGCGGUCUUGUAAGACAGGUGUGAAAUCCCCGGGCUUAACCUGGGAACUGCACUUGUGACUGCAAGGCUGGAGUACGGCAGAGGGGGAUGGAAUUCCGCGUGUAGCAGUGAAAUGC